UAGGGAAUCUUCGGCAAUGGGGGCAACCCUGACCGAGCAACGCCGCGUGAGUGAAGAAGGUUUUCGGAUCGUAAAGCCCUGUUGUAAGUCAAGAACGGGUGUGAGAGUGGAAAGUUCACACUGUGACGGUAGCUUACCAGAAAGGGACGGCUAACUACGUGCCAGCAGCCGCGGUAAUACGUAGGUCCCGAGCGUUGUCCGGAUUUAUUGGGCGUAAAGCGAGCGCAGGCGGUUUGAUAAGUCUGAAGUUAAAGGCUGUGGCUCAACCAUAGUUCGCUUUGGAAACUGUCAAACUUGAGUGCAGAAGG
RNAcentral lists this ribosomal RNA (308 nucleotides) under uncultured bacterium. RNAcentral describes it as "partial 16S ribosomal RNA". It matches the Rfam family "Bacterial small subunit ribosomal RNA", at positions 355 to 655 of the family's 1533-position model. The record is from RNAcentral.